RNAcentral lists this ribosomal RNA (505 nucleotides) under uncultured bacterium. Its description in RNAcentral is "partial 16S ribosomal RNA". It matches the Rfam family "Bacterial small subunit ribosomal RNA", at positions 28 to 507 of the family's 1533-position model. The record is from RNAcentral.
GACGAACGCUGGCGGCGUGCCUAAUACAUGCAAGUAGAACGCACAGUUUAUACCGUAGCUUGCUACACCAUAGACUGUGAGUUGCGAACGGGCGAGUAACGCGUAGGUAACCUGCCUGGUAGCGGGGGAUAACUAUUGGAAACGAUAGCUAAUACCGCAUAAUAUUAAUUAUUGCAUGAUAAUUAAUUGAAAGGUGCAAUUGCACCACUACCAGAUGGACCUGCGUUGUAUUAGCUAGUAGGUGAGGUAACGGCUCACCUAGGCGACGAUACAUAGCCGAACGGAGGGGGUGAUCGGCCACACUGGGAGUGAGACACGGCCCAGACUGCUACGGGAGGCAGCAGUAGGGAAUCUUCGGCAAUGGACGAAAGGCAGACCGAGCAACGCCGCGUGAGGGAAGAAGGUGUUCGGAUCGUAAAGCUCUGUUGUAAGAGAAGAACGGGUGUGAGAGUGGAAAGUUCACACUGUGACGGUAUCUUACCAGAAAGGGACGGCUAACUACGUG